UGGGGAAUAUUGCACAAUGGGCGCAAGCCUGAUGCAGCCAUGCCGCGUGUAUGAAGAAGGCCUUCGGGUUGUAAAGUACUUUCAGUCGGGAGGAAGGUGGUAAGGUUAAUAACCUUAUCAAUUGACGUUACCGACAGAAGAAGCACCGGCUAACUCCGUGCCAGCAGCCGCGGUAAUACGGAGGGUGCAAGCGUUAAUCGGAAUUACUGGGCGUAAAGCGCACGCAGGCGGUUGAUUGAGUCAGAUGUGAAAUCCCCGGGCUUAACCCGGGAAUUGCAUCUGAUACUGGUAAGCUAGAGUCUUGUAGAGGGGGGUAGAAUUCCAUGUGUAGCGGUGAAAUGCGUAGAGAUGUGGAGGAAUACCGGUGGCGAAGGCGGCCCGCUGGACAAAGACUGACGCUCAGGUGCGAAAGCGUGGGGAGCAAACAGG
Molecule: ribosomal RNA, 429 nt
Filed under: Chloroflexota bacterium
Lineage: Bacteria; Bacillati; Chloroflexota
Description: Chloroflexi bacterium partial 16S ribosomal RNA
Rfam family: Bacterial small subunit ribosomal RNA
Source: RNAcentral